AAUAUUGCGCAAUGGAGGAAACUCUGACGCCGCGACGCCGCGUGAGCGAUGAAGGUCUUCGGAUCGUAAAGCUCUGUCCUUGGGGCAGAAGAUCGUAAGUUUUGACGGUACCUGAGGAGGAUGCCCCGGCUAACUCCGUGCCAUCAGCCGCGGUAAUACGUAGGGGGCAAGCGCUGUCCGGAAUUAUUGGGCGUAAAGGGGGCGUAGGCGGCUUUUUAAGGCAGAUGGGAAAGACCACGGCUUAAACGUGGGGUUGCAUUUGGAACUGGAAGGCUUGAGUAUCGGGGAGGGUAGUGGAAUUCCCAGUGUAGCGGUGAAAUGCGUAGAUAUUGGGGGGAACACCAGUGGCGAAGGCGACUACCUGGACGAAAACUGACGCUGAUGCACGAAAGCUAGGGGAGCAAACA
Molecule: ribosomal RNA, 407 nt
Filed under: uncultured bacterium
Lineage: Bacteria
Description: partial 16S ribosomal RNA
Rfam family: Bacterial small subunit ribosomal RNA
Source: RNAcentral